Molecule: ribosomal RNA, 253 nt
Filed under: uncultured bacterium
Lineage: Bacteria
Description: partial 16S ribosomal RNA
Rfam family: Bacterial small subunit ribosomal RNA
Source: RNAcentral
UACGUAGGGGGCGAACGUUGUCCGGAUUUAUUGGGCGUAAAGAGCGUGUAGGCGGCCAGGUAGGUCUGCUGUGAAAACUCGAGGCUCAACCUCGAGACGUCGGCGGAAACCAUCUGGCUAGAGUCCGGAAGAGGAGAGUGGAAUUCCUGGUGUAGCGGUGAAAUGCGCAGAUAUCAGGAAGAACACCCGUGGCGAAGGCGGCUCUCUGGGACGGUACUGACGCUGAGACGCGAAAGCGUGGGGAGCGAACAGG